This 254-nucleotide ribosomal RNA is filed under the name uncultured bacterium. RNAcentral describes it as "partial 16S ribosomal RNA". It matches the Rfam family "Bacterial small subunit ribosomal RNA", at positions 524 to 776 of the family's 1533-position model. The record is from RNAcentral.
GACGAACCGUGCGAACGUUAUUCGGAAUUACUGGGCUUAAAGCGCGUGUAGGCGGGCCGGCACGUCGGUCGCUGAAAUCCCCCGGCUCAACCGGGGAACGGGCGCCGAUACGACCGGCCUGGAGGGACGUAGGGGGACCUGGAACUUCCGGUGGAGCGGUGAAAUGCGUUGAUAUCAUCAGGAACACCGGUGGCGAAAGCGGCUUACUGGGUCUCUUCUGACGCUGAGGUACGAAAGCUAGGGUAGCGAACGGG